UGUGUGUGUACGUGUGUAUAAGAGUGUGAUAUGUAUAUGUGAGUGAUGUGUGUCAAUGUGUGUGUCUCAGGCUGUGUGUGUGUGAGUAUGAGUGAUGUGUGUGAGGGUUUGAGUGGUGUGUGGUGGUUUGUGGGGUGUGUGGUGUGUGUGAGUGUGUGAAGGUGUGAGUGAAUGGUGUGUGGUGGUGUUUGGGGGGUGUAUGAGGGUGUGAGUGGCGUGUGUGUGUGAGGGUGUGAGUGCUGUGUAUGGGGCCUGUGGUGUGUUUGUAUGUGAAGGUGUAAGCAGUGUGGGGAUGUGGUGUGUGUGUGUGUAUGAGUGGGUGUGUGUGAGGGUGUGAGUGGUGUAUGUGUGUGAAGGUGUGAGUGCUGUGUGUGUGCUGUAUGUGGGGUCUGUGGUGUGUUUGUAUGUGAGGGUAUAAGUAGUGUGGGGAUGUGGCGUGUGUGUGUAUAUGAGUGGGUUUGUGUGAGGGUGUGUGUGGUGUGGGGAGUGCCAGUGUGUAUGUAUGUGUGUGAGGUGCGAGUGAAUAGUGUGUGUGGU
RNAcentral lists this long non-coding RNA (537 nucleotides) under Homo sapiens (human). RNAcentral describes it as "HSALNT0406340". The record is from RNAcentral. Lineage: Eukaryota; Metazoa; Chordata; Mammalia; Primates; Hominidae.